CGAGGUGGAAGGCUCGGACUGCCAACAUUGAACUGGGCCGUCAAAUAAGCCCAUUCAACUUGCUGUAUCUCCUUUGUGCGGCCAGAGUUUUAUGGACCAACAAAUUAUGGGAGAAUAGAAUGCAAUAAUUAUAAAGGUUGAAUCCCAACCUUGAAGGCUCUCAUCGUCCCGCCCUUAGAGUUUUGUGAGAAAGGUAAAUCGUGGGAUGUGCCCCAACAGACCAGGGAACAAGAGUUGCGUGUACACUGCGCCUACAAAAAGUCAAAUUUCAUGUCUCAGGAAUCGAAUCUUCACACUGCGGCUGUCAGUAAGACGUGAGAUAACAUCACUCCCGUUCUUUAUACCACUAGGCUAUGCCUCGAGUGGCGAAUGCAAUAAUUAUAGAUUGAAUUAAUUAUGGAGUUACAAUUACAUUUUUAUUUUUUAUUUUUUUUUUAUUUUUAUUUUUUAACCUUUACAUUGUUAUUCUUAGCAUUAUAUUAAUUUG
RNAcentral lists this long non-coding RNA (487 nucleotides) under Olea europaea subsp. europaea. Lineage: Eukaryota; Viridiplantae; Streptophyta; Magnoliopsida; Lamiales; Oleaceae. The record is from RNAcentral.